Molecule: ribosomal RNA, 248 nt
Filed under: uncultured bacterium
Lineage: Bacteria
Also listed under: 1 other name
Description: partial 16S ribosomal RNA
Rfam family: Bacterial small subunit ribosomal RNA
Source: RNAcentral
CGCGCUGUAAACGAUGAGUGCUAGACGGUGGAGGUAUUGACCCCUUCGCUGCCGAAGCUAACGCGUUAAGCACUCCGCCUGGGGAGUACGGUCGCAAGACUAAAACUCAAAGGAAUUGACGGGGGCCCGCACAAGCGGUGGAGCAUGUGGUUUAAUUCGACGCAACGCGCAAAACCUUACCUGGGUUAAAUCCGCCGGAACCUGUCUGAAAGGAUGGGGUGCCCUUCGGGGAAUCGGUGAGAAGGUGC